UGAUUUGGUUAGAAAAGGAAUAUUUUUCUCGGAAUCAAUGUUCAAUUUUGAGUGGGAUUUUUGAUCAAUGUGAAUUUGUGUCAAUGUGAUUUUCAGCCAAUUCGAAAAUGUUUAAUUUUUUGUAUGUUCUAACGUGCCUCUCCUUUUUUACGCUGAAAUAUUGAUCAUAUUUAUUUAGGAUUCCGAGACACCCGAAGUCUAGAGCUUUUUAAAAUUUUAUCAACUUUUUUUCUAAAUCUUUUUGUUUUGUUUGUUGUUUUUGUUUUUUGUUUUCGAUUCGACAACGUCUUGGAACAGCCGACAGUAUAUAGAAGACCAAUCCCAAGACUGCGGCAUGUAUGGCCGCACUCGUGCACCCAAAAUCCUAAAUACUACCAAUACCAAAGCCGACAGUAUGAGUGUAGUAGUUUAGUUUUAGUAUUUAGUGUCAUACAUGGCCGGGUCUUCAUUACUUUGAUGAGCUUGCUUGAGAUUAUGGACAAGAUUCCUAUUCACUGCCCUGAUUAACAGACAAUUUGCUCUCUUUAGAUUUUACGAAUCUUUUUUUCCCUUCACGAGUUAGUAUUUCAUAUUUGAUCAAAGAACACAUUGUGGAAUGUGCACGAAUGUCUUUGUCUCCAUUGAAACUUUGAGCACUUGAUAUUUAAUUACGUUUUUUUGCUCUUUGAUUCAGUGUUUUAACCAUGGUUUAUCAAACCUUGUAUACACCAUGGUUUUAACCAAGGGUUUUAACUGUGCUUACUAACCUGGGAACACCUUUCUUUUUGCUACGAGUUAAACCCUUUUAGUUAAAGUGAUUAGUCUUGCCAAUUGUUCAUUUUGACGAUUUUGAUAAGGAAUUGGACAAUCAAUUCUGGUCUUAUGACAGCCAUAAUUUCAUGUGUGUCUGACAUUGGCUACUAUUAGUAUUACAACAAUAUUAAUAUAUGCAAGAUUUACAUUGUGUACCAAAGUGGAUUCAAUGAGAUUGCUGACACCAUAAAUGGUAAUGAAUGGAAGCGUGGCUAGAACUUUCCAUGGUUGAAUCAGCCCAUCAUGAGGCAUAUUUGAACUGGGAACGCGACAUUGGACCCCCCAACAGUGGCAACGGAGGGUACCCCGACGAAAACAAACGGGCCCCUCGACACUAGCCCCCACCCCCUCGACACCAGUCCCCCCCGACAUUGGCCCCCACCGUUUUUGCAGGGGGCUACAGUCGGCGAAGAGGGCGACACCAGCCACCCCUGGCAAUAGAAGCGGGGGGGCCUUUGUCGUGUAGGCAUACGACACCAGCGUCCCCCACUUAAAAUCAUUCAAGUACGGGGGGGCCAGUGUCGUAGUAUCAUACGACACCAGCCUCCCCCCUCAAAUUAAUUCAAUCGAAGGGGCUGUCGCAGUGGCAGUCGACAACAGUCCCCUUAUGUUGAUAAUCGAUUGUUAGGCCGAUUUCGAUCGCCAGUCAACAGUCCAACAUGGUCUCCACGGUAUAUACCGACCGUUCGGUAAGAUUGCAUUCCUGCUUUCCCUCUCUGUAGUCCUAUCUACAAGUAGUGCCGCCAACGGCCGAAGGAGGAAUUAAAAGCUUCUAAACAGUUUUGACAAACGAAAUUUACUGGCGAAGAUGAAAAGGAUUUAAGAAGAGCGCUAAAGUAGCCUAAGAGGAGAAAAAAGCAAAGCAAAAGGGAGAAGAUUAGGACCUAAUGGUGGGACUGGAGCUGAAGGAUAUGGUCUUUUUAAAAAAGAUAGGUUGUUCCCACAAGCAGAUAUACCUGCUCCUUCAACAAAGUUGCCUAAUGAACCUAAGGCGAAAAAAAUAUAUAUACUGUGAAAUCACCAGAAUUCCUAACUGGUGGUUGUGCAGAAAAUUCUUGUAACCAAAAACAAGAUGCUGAAAAAACCAAGGAUGGUUAUAGCAAUCACACAAGAAGGCAAUGAGAUUCAAACACCAACAGAAGAAGUAACGAAACGGCUGGCCACUCUAAAAAUGAGGGUUGAAAGAAUUCAAGAUGAAGCAAGUAUUGAAAAUGCUUCUCUUGUAACCCAAUCACAGGCAAUGACCAGAAUUUCAUAUGAUAGAACUUGGUUGAAGAGGAGAGAAAAUGUCGAUGCUGGGUGGGUUAUCAACAGAAACACAUACCUCUCAGCUUUUAUUAAGCACAAAGCUCUUUCGGAGAGAGAGGUAUGCUGUAAUUGUCAUAUUUCAAUUCCCUAUCUUGCUGUGCGAUGCAACACUUGCCAUGCCAAUUUAUGCCCAGAAUGUGAUUGGGCAUUUCAUUUUAAAAGACCGUUCCACUAUCGAGAACUAUUCGGAGAGAGUUCGUCCAGGCCUCUUCUACCGUCUGAGUGUGUCCAUUCAAAUGGACAUGUUGUAGAAAAAGCCGUUCCAGGACCGUUACAUAUCCCUCCUGAUUGUGCUGACUGUGCUGAGAAGAGCACGGUUCAGUUAUUUUCAGGAUCUACGUGCAUCGCAAUUGUAACAAAAGAUGGACACUAAAAACUAGUCAUAUCCCGUGAAAAUUUCGAUUUAAUCGACACCUAGAUGCUGAUGCAGCGUUAUUUGAAAGAAAAAAUUGCCAAAUCAGUGUUUUUCUUUAAGAAGCUGGAAGAUGAUGAUACCAGCAGCUCCUCCAGUUCAUCAGAUGAAGAUCAAUUUCCGGAAGGCUCAUCAGCUGAAGAGGAAGAGAUUGGAAGAGAGUAAUUGAAAUGUAGAAUAAUAAAUUGAUAAUACAUUUUUAAACUCUC
Molecule: unclassified non-coding RNA, 2721 nt
Filed under: Daphnia magna
Lineage: Eukaryota; Metazoa; Arthropoda; Branchiopoda; Diplostraca; Daphniidae
Description: uncharacterized LOC116919860, transcript variant X2
Source: RNAcentral